Felis catus (domestic cat) is the source of this 1021-nucleotide long non-coding RNA. RefSeq lists it as uncharacterized. The transcript is spliced from 4 exons. The record is from RefSeq and is a predicted model, not a curated record. NCBI's taxonomy places the organism in Eukaryota, Metazoa, Chordata, Mammalia, Carnivora, Felidae.
CCCUACUCUUGAGAUGCUCACAUCCUGGGGAGGGGAAGAGACAGUGCUAUGGACUGAAUGUUUGUGUCCCCCUUCCCUCGCAUUCGUAUGCUGAAGCCCUGAUUCUCAACGUGAUGCUCUUUGGAGAUGGGGCCUUUGGGAUAUAAUUAGGUCAGGAGGGUGGAAAUCUUCGUGACGGGAUUAACACCCUCAUAAGAAGAAAUAUGAAACAGCUUGCUUCUCUUCUUUCUCUUAGCCAUGUGAGGACACAGCAAGAUCACAGGAAGAGGGUUCUCAUCAGACACUGAACCUGCGGGCACCUUGAUUGCGGACUUCCCAGCCUCCAGAACGAGUCUGGCUGUGAAGACCACCGGAUAAAUGGGCAGUUAUUGGAAGAAGGUCCUGCAAAUACGUCAGGGUGUCUCCUCAGGCCACCUCCCUUCCUUUCUGGUGGCCUGACCUCCACGUACCUGUCCCUUCAGCUAACUUCCCACUACCACAAAUACUCCAAUACAUUCACACUUCAGGCUACAGGCCGAACCAAUCUUCACCUAGUCUGAGAUUCAUGCCUGGUCCUGUUUCUUCCGCCAGCAUCAGCAUUUUCUCAGUAUUACCGACAGCCAGGACCUCGGUGCAUAGUCUGGCCCAAUGGCCCCAAAGAGACAAUCCUAUGAGAGUCUAACAUCAGCACGUUGCUGAGAGACAUGGAAAAUAAUGUCAGAGCUGGUGAUGGAACUCUCCCUUUCCUCUGCCUUCAUGCUUCCAUGUGGACGGAGCUCCAUUAGAGUAUUACUCCUACUCUCUCACCCCAUUCCCUCUCCAAGGAUGGAGCAGUGACUUAUCUGAUUGGUGUGCUUGAGGAAGGAGCUCAGCCUGCCUCUCUCUGUCUUUGUAUGUCACUGCAUACUUGCAGAAAUGAAUAUUCAGGAACAAGUCUUCAUGGGAGAACCCUGAAUUUGGUCAGUCCAGCCAUGGUCUGUGAGGCGAUGUUUGUCUAACUCAAGGCUACUAACAAUAAAGAUAAAGUUUUAGUUUCUACUUA